AGUGAACGCUGGCGGUAGGCCUAACACAUGCAAGUCGAACGGCAGCACAGUAAGAGCUUGCUCUUACGGGUGGCGAGUGGCGGACGGGUGAGGAAUACAUCGGAAUCUACUUUUUCGUGGGGGAUAACGUAGGGAAACUUACGCUAAUACCGCAUACGACCUACGGGUGAAAGCAGGGGAUCUUCGGACCUUGCGCGAUUGAAUGAGCCGAUGUCGGACUAGCUAGUUGGCGGGGUAAAGGCCCACCAAGGCGACGAUCCGUAGCUGGUCUGAGAGGAUGAUCAGCCACACUGGAACUGAGACUCGGUCCAGACUCCUACGGGAGGCAGCAGUGGGGAAUAUUGGACAAUGGGCGCAAGCCUGAUCCAGCCAUACCGCGUGGGUGAAGAAGGCCUUCGGGUUGUAAAGCCCUUUUGUUGGGAAAGAAAAGCAGCAGGUUAAUACCCCGCUGUUCUGACGGUACCCAAAGAAUAAGCACCGGCUAACUUCGUG
RNAcentral lists this ribosomal RNA (492 nucleotides) under uncultured bacterium. RNAcentral's name for it is "partial 16S ribosomal RNA". It matches the Rfam family "Bacterial small subunit ribosomal RNA", at positions 29 to 507 of the family's 1533-position model. The record is from RNAcentral.